AAUUGAUGAUGUGGACAGCUCAUUGUUAAAGCUUUGUAUCUCUCCCAUAUCUGAUGCAAUGGUUCACCUCAGUGCUGCUGGAAAUGAAAAAUAUUAUCCCUCAACUU
Molecule: small nucleolar RNA, 107 nt
Organism: Tripterygium wilfordii
Lineage: Eukaryota; Viridiplantae; Streptophyta; Magnoliopsida; Celastrales; Celastraceae
Source: RefSeq, a predicted model, not a curated record